This 200-nucleotide ribosomal RNA is filed under the name uncultured bacterium. RNAcentral describes it as "partial 16S ribosomal RNA". It matches the Rfam family "Bacterial small subunit ribosomal RNA", at positions 28 to 153 of the family's 1533-position model. The record is from RNAcentral.
GAUGAACGCUGGCGGCGUGCCUAAUACAUGCAAGUCGAGCGGUAAGGCUCCUGCAGAUUAUUUAAACAGUGGAGAUAUCUCCACAGCUGAAGUUUCCGGCUGGAAACUAAGGUACGUUUGAAUGAUGUGCUGGAGUACACGAGCGGCGGACGGGUGAGUAACGCGUAAGAAUGUACCCCAAACUGAGGGAUAACUGCUCG